This 468-nucleotide ribosomal RNA is filed under the name uncultured bacterium. Its description in RNAcentral is "partial 16S ribosomal RNA". It matches the Rfam family "Bacterial small subunit ribosomal RNA", at positions 28 to 507 of the family's 1533-position model. The record is from RNAcentral.
GACGAACGCUGGCGGCGUGCUUAACACAUGCAAGUCGAACGGAAAGGCCCUGCUUUUGUGGGGUGCUCGAGUGGCGAACGGGUGAGUAACACGUGAGUAACCUGCCCUUGACUUUGGGAUAACUUCAGGAAACUGGGGCUAAUACCGGAUAGGAGCUCCUGCUGCAUGGUGGGGGUUGGAAAGUUUCGGCGGUUGGGGAUGGACUCGCGGCUUAUCAGCUUGUUGGUGGGGUAGUGGCUUACCAAGGCUUUGACGGGUAGCCGGCCUGCGAGGGUGACCGGCCACAGUGGGACUGGGAUACGGCCCAGACUCCUACGGGAGGCAGCAGUGGGGAAUAUUGCACAAUGGGCGGAAGCCUGAUGCAGCAACGCCGCGUGCGGGAUGACGGCCUUCGGGUUGUAAACCGCUUUCGCCUGUGACGAAGCGUGAGUGACGGUAAUGGGUAAAGAAGCACCGGCUAACUACGUG